This 476-nucleotide ribosomal RNA is filed under the name uncultured organism. Its description in RNAcentral is "bacterial SSU rRNA". It matches the Rfam family "Bacterial small subunit ribosomal RNA", at positions 28 to 507 of the family's 1533-position model. The record is from RNAcentral.
GAUGAACGCUGGCGGCGUGCCUAAUACAUGCAAGUCGAACGAGGUGCUUGAGUAGCAAUACAAGAGUAUCCUAGUGGCGAACGGGUGAGUAACGCGUGGAUGACCUGCCCCAAAGUGUGGGAUAACAGUCCGAAAGGAUUGCUAAUACCUCAUGUGGUUAUCGGGUUUAGAAAUCGAUAACUAAAGUGGCGCUUUGCGUCACGCUUUGGGAGGGAUCUGCGUCCCAUCAGCUAGUUGGUGAGGUAACGGCUCACCAAGGCGACGACGGGUAGGGGACCUGAGAGGGUGGCCCCCCACAAUGGAACUGAAACACGGUCCAUACACCUACGGGUGGCAGCAGUAGGGAAUAUUGCUCAAUGGGCGAAAGCCUGAAGCAGCAACGCCGCGUGCGCGAUGAAGGCCUUCGGGUCGUAAAGCGCUUUUCUACGAGAUGAGAAAGGACAGUAUCGUAGGAAUAAGUCUCGGCUAACUACGUG